Molecule: long non-coding RNA, 1865 nt
Filed under: Prunus dulcis (almond)
Lineage: Eukaryota; Viridiplantae; Streptophyta; Magnoliopsida; Rosales; Rosaceae
Description: sRNA ncRNA
Source: RNAcentral
CUUUAUUUCUUCUUCCUUCUCUCACGCUCCUCUUCUCGUUAUUCUUUUUCUUUUUUUUCUUUUUUUUUCUUUUUUUUUCUUCCUCCUCUCUUCUCUCUUCUUCGUCUCUCUCUCUCUCUCAUCAUCUUCCUCUCUCACUUCUUUUCCGACCUUUUAAAAAAAAAAACAAGGUUGCUCUUUUUUUUGUUGGUUGGGUGGUGGUUAAUGGGUUGAUGAAUUUGGGCUUCGAUUAUUAACAGGGGUUCGAUUGUUGAUGUUUGAUAGUUGAAACGUUUUGAAUUUGGGGUUCGAUGGUUGAUGUCUGAUGGUUAACUUUUGUUCUUGGUUAGUAGGCUUGGGCUAAUCGGUGGAUUGCGGUUUUGUGGACACCAACCGACAUCUGCGGUUAAUGGCAUCUUCUCGUACAGUACCGGUAUAAAAAACUCCAAUACCAGAAAGCCUCGGUCGGAUUGCGGUUUCUCUGAAAAUUUGCGGUUUUCGAACCACACCCGUUAAAAUCCUUUAAAAUAUUUUAAAUUUGAAAAAAACAUUUAUUUAAAAAAAAGAAAAAAAAAAGUAAGAAACAAAAGGGAUGGAAGAGAGAAAAGAAGAAAAGGAAAGAGAGGAAGAAUGGGGAGCAAGAGAGGCAGAGAAUGGGUCAGGGAAGGGGCUGGGUGUUGGGUCUCGGGUAAGCCUUAGAGAUGUGGGGUGGGUAGGGUUCGGGGUGGGGUUGUGGGCAGGGCUAGGAUCGGGAUGGGUUAGAGCAACUCCAGCAAUGAGCUGAGCCUAAGGUUGGGGGGAGGGGGGGAAAACUCAUUCCAGCGGUGAGUCCAAGCUCGGGCUGGGAGUGAGUCCCACCAAGUCGGGCUGGCCCGAAGGCCAGUUCAGUCCGAGAUGACGCCUGCGUGUUGUGACGUCAGCGCUGGUUCAAAAUUUUUUUACCGUUGGCGCAUGCAAUACGCGCGCUGACAUCGGCGCGACGCCACCUCCAACGGGAAGAAGCCACGUGUCACGCCCCCAGCGCUCCGAUCUACUUCUCCGAAUCUAAUCCAACGGCUGGCAUUUUUUGGACAACAAAAUUUUUUUAAAAAAAUUCUAAAAAAUUCUGAUUUUUUUUUUUUAAAACUAUAAAUACCUAUAAAUACCCUUCACUUUCAACACUAAUCCUCAUACAUUUCAUUAUACUUAUACUAUUAUUCACUCUUUACUCGACAUUUUCCUCUCUUUCAACUUGUAUUUUUAUUUCUUAUUUUUAUGGCUUCUUCUAUCGAAACUGGAGGGGCUUGGAGCACCAUGAAAGAUGUUUCCUUGUGUGAGGCUUGGCUCCAAAUUUGUCAUUGUCCCGUGUCCGGCAAUGAGAUGAAAUUUUUUCAUAUGUGGAAAAAAAUUCAUGUCGAAUUUUGUGAAAAAAUUCCGGAGUCUACUCAUACGGAAAUGGCAUUAUCUAGUAGGUGGAAAAUUCUCAAUAAAGAGUUGGGAAAAUGGAGAGAUGCCUUGGCAAAAGCGAUGGACAACUAUAGAAGCGGGGAAAAUCGUACUAACGAGGUAAGUAUUUUAUAAUUUUUGUUUUAUUAAGUUUAAUAUCCUAAUAUAUAUAUUUUGUUAAUAUUUAUUGCAUUUUCAAUAUUUUGUUAAUAUUUCUUGCAUUUUAAAUAUUUUGUUAAUAUUUCUUGCAUUUUCAAUAUUUUGUUAAUAUUUCUUGCAUUUUCAAUAUGUUGUUAAUAUUUCUUGCAUUUCCAAUUGUUUCUUAAUUUUUCUUGCACUUCUAAUUUAUUUGUAAGGUUAAUUGCAUUUCCAUUAUUUUUUUUUUUUGUUACUUGCAUAUCCAAUAUAUUUUAAAUAUUUAUUGCAUUUCCAUUUUUUUUGUUAAAUAGAUGAUUCAAGCA